AGAGCAUAUAUCUAAACACAUUGCUCUUGAAAGCAUUGAGGUUAAUGGGGCUCCUGGUAGACGCUUUGUUAGUGUGUACAGAGCAGGCUCUCAGACAAUCGAGGGCCAGUGAGUUUAGGAGGCUCUUCAGUACUUCACCAUAGUUUCGCUUUCUUUGAGAUCAUCUUAGCCCAGUUUGUUUCUGUGGCUAGAACAACACCAGAGGCUGGAAGGAUUACAAAGAGAAGACUUCAUCUCAUGGCUCUAGAGGCAGGAGAGUUCGGGUGUUUUGGUUGCAUGGGCCCUAUGAUGGGUUCUAAUGUGGUGGAUGGUAUCAUAUGGCAGGAGUGUGUGUGAGUGUGGCAAGCAGGGUUUGUGGAAAAGAGAAGGGGGUAGAAGACAGCAGGUGCUUUACAACAAUCUUCUCUCUGAAAACGCAUCCAUUCCUGAGAGAAGCAACCCAGUCUCCAGGGAAGGAUGUUAGUCCUCAAAGACCCCAACCCUACAAUGCUCUAGUGGUAAAGACUGUUAAGAUGAGCUCCAGCAGGAUUAAACUGGGUCUUGGAACAUAGCAGACACCACUGUCAGAAGGGCGGUGAAUGAACUUGACAUCACCGUUACUUGGGACGUAAGCAGGCACCAAUGACUGCGGUGCAUCUAUCAACUUUGCAGAGCUGCAGCCUUGCCACUUGGCCCUGGACCCUAGACUACAACCUUGGUUCCAUUUCCUUAUAUGUAACAUAAGAAACAACCAUGAGUGAGAGGGAUCAUAACCUUUACUUUGUACGAAGACAGAGAAGAUUCAGAGAGCUGAGACAUUGCUCUUAGAAGAAACAAUGAGAAAACAGACUUAAGUUUGAAACCGUGGAGCCUGGUCCCUUCGCGCUCAUAACCACUGCACAUCUUGCCUCAAUGCCUAUACAAAACUGUUUCUUUAAUCUGUGAUGAUGGUAACUUGGACAAGUUCAUUAAUUCGCUAGACCCCAUUUCCUGCAAGAGAAACAGCGUUCCGUGAUUGUCUAUCUUCUAAAGAUGCUGGGGGAGUCACUGAAGCAGAUAGUAAUGGGAUUCGAGGAGAACCCCAGCAGCUGUGGGCAAGAAGCCAAUGCUCACCUCAGCAGUAAUACUGAUUGCUCUGCGAACAUCACACACAUCUGUGGUGUUUGUAAUUACUUGCUCCAAAGCUUGUGAUUUCCCUAUGUUCUAGAAACUGUCUCUUCCUAAUUUGCCUUUGGCAGCCUCACCUCGACAGAGCAUACUUGGGAGCAUCCUCUGCUUUCGGUGUUAUUUGGAGAUGCAUUGAUAAAUGGCGUGAAAAGUUCCUCUCUCUUAGAAUCCUAGCAUAAUGUUUGGCUUGGGAAUUCCACCUAAUUAAUAUUGGUUCUUUUUCUUUUUGCAAUGGAACACAUUAUCUGAGACAAACACUCCGGAGUCCCAUAGCAGGUGCCUCUGAGGGACACAAGCAUCUCUAGCACAGCAGCUCACAUGCCCUGUGAUAUGAGCAACGUGAUGUACAAGGAAGCCCAUGCUGGAGCCUACCUCGGAGGGCAGGGGAUGUUAUGUGUUAUGGAGAACAGUGCUGCAGGCGUGGUUGAAAGUCUCCAGAGCAGAAAGAGGAAGGCACUUGAUGUUCUGAUCGCUUCGAACUGCUAAUUAGGCUCAUGCAUGCUACAAACGCUGGCAGCUCUUGUGUCCUGGGGUAACAGGGACAAGCCUGGCAAAGAGGCUCAGAAACACGGCCAACCCAUCCAUAAGCCCACGUGCUGUGCCUAUAAAGAGAUGCUUCAACGGAGUACACUGGCGAACCAGCUACCAAGCACGUUUGAAUGCUCUGAGAUUCCGAGUAGAAAUAUAAUGUCCAGGUGGGCAUCAAAGUCUCCUUGAAACAGCUCGGGAAAUUCUACAUUUACCGCCGGCAGUCAGUGGGGCGGGAAAUCGUGCACUCGGGAAUGGAAUACACUAUGCUUCUGGUUCGUGAAUGUGCCCACUGAGAGCUGCAGCAGCGAGUCAGCUGACAUUUCAGAGCUUCUAUGUCUUCCUUUGCAAAGUGGAAACUACCCAGUUGGCACAGUCAAGUACUCUGGCUCAGCAGAAGACUGACAAAAAAGUGGCCCUCACUCUGUGACAAUGUGUUUUAGAAAGGAAUGAAGACACUGUUUGGAAUGGAGACGCCAUUUGAAGCAGCCCUGUCCCCGAGAGGUCUACAACACCUUGCUCUUAGGAAUCCAAGUGGAAACAGGACCGUGUCCAAAUUUCUUCUUACAAUAUUGAUUUUUUUUUAAAGAACCUUAUCUCUCAAAGUCAUAUGUUUUGAAACAGUAUAGCUCUGCUGGCUUUGAACUCACUAUGUAGCUAAGGGAGGCUGAGGAUCCUGGUCCUCCAAGUGCUGGGAUUGUAGGAAUGAGCCAUCAUGCCGAGCAACACAUUUGCCCUGAGGCUUUCUGGAGACCUACCUCCUCCCUAGUUCUAAUAAAGGCAAGCGUCUUAUAGGUGGACUUAUGUUUGC
Molecule: small RNA, 2485 nt
Filed under: Rattus norvegicus (Norway rat)
Lineage: Eukaryota; Metazoa; Chordata; Mammalia; Rodentia; Muridae
Description: uncharacterized LOC100910949
Source: RNAcentral